Molecule: ribosomal RNA, 928 nt
Filed under: uncultured bacterium
Lineage: Bacteria
Description: bacterial SSU rRNA
Rfam family: Bacterial small subunit ribosomal RNA
Source: RNAcentral
AUUCGCCCUUAGAGUUUGAUCCUGGCUCAGGAUGAACGCUAGCUACAGGCUUAACACAUGCAAGUCGAGGGGCAGCGAUGAAGAAAGCUUGCUUUCUUCAGGCGGCGACCGGCGCACGGGUGAGUAACGCGUAUCGAACCUGCCUCAUACUCGGGAAUAGCCUUGCGAAAGUAAGAUUAAUGCCCGAUGUUAUUAGAGCAUCACAUGAUGUUUUAAUUAAAGAUUUAUCGGUAUGAGAUGGCGAUGCGUCCCAUUAGCUUGUUGGCGGGGUAACGGCCCACCAAGGCAUCGAUGGGUAGGGGUUCUGAGAGGAAGGUCCCCCACAUUGGAACUGAGACACGGUCCAAACUCCUACGGGAGGCAGCAGUGAGGAAUAUUGGUCAAUGGACGCAAGUCUGAACCAGCCAAGUAGCGUGCAGGAUGACGGCCCUCUGGGUUGUAAACUGCUUUUAGUUGGGAAUAAAGUGCACCACGUGUGGUGUUUUGUAUGUACCAUCAGAAAAAGGACCGGCUAAUUCCGUGCCAGCAGCCGCGGUAAUACGGAAGGUCCAGGCGUUAUCCGGAUUUAUUGGGUUUAAAGGGAGCGCAGGCGGACCUUUAAGUCAGCUGUGAAAUACGGCGGCUCAACCGUCGAACUGCAGUUGAUACUGGAGGUCUUGAGUGCACACAGGGAUACUGGAAUUCAUGGUGUAGCGGUGAAAUGCUCAGAUAUCAUGAAGAACUCCGAUCGCGAAGGCAGGUAUCCGGGGUGCAACUGACGCUGAGGCUCGAAAGUGCGGGUAUCAAACAGGAUUAGAUACCCUGGUAGUCCGCACAGUAAACGAUGAAUACUCGCGAUUUGCGAUACACAGUAAGUCGCCAAGCGAAAGCGUUAAGUAUUCCACCUGGGGAGUACGCCGGCAACGGUGAAACUCAAAGGAAUUGACGG